This 497-nucleotide ribosomal RNA is filed under the name uncultured bacterium. RNAcentral's name for it is "partial 16S ribosomal RNA". It matches the Rfam family "Bacterial small subunit ribosomal RNA", at positions 28 to 507 of the family's 1533-position model. The record is from RNAcentral.
GAUGAACGCUGGCGGCGUGCCUAAUACAUGCAAGUCGAGCGAACAGACGAGGAGCUUGCUCCUCUUCCGUUAGCGGCGGACGGGUGAGUCACACGUGGAUAACCUACCUAUAAGACUGGGAUAACUUCGGGAAACCGGAUCUCAUACCGGAUCAUAUAUUGAACCGCAUGGUUCAAUGGUGAAAGACGGUUUUGCUGUCCCUAAUAGAUGGAUCCGCGCCGCAUUAGCUAGUUGGUAAGGUAACGGCUUACCAAGGCAACGAUGCGUAGCCGACCUGAGAGGGUGAUCGGCCACACUGGAACUGAGACACGGUCCAGACUCCUACGGGAGGCAGCAGUAGGGAAUCUUCCGCAAUGGGCGAAAGCCUGACGGAGCAACGCCGCGUGAGUGAUGAAGGUCUUCGGAUCGUAAAACUCUGUUAGUAGGGAAGAACAAAUGUGUAAGUAACUAUGCACGUCUUGACGGUACCUAAUCAGAAAGCCACGGCUAACUACGUG